This 27-nucleotide non-coding RNA is filed under the name Mus musculus (house mouse). The record is from RNAcentral. Lineage: Eukaryota; Metazoa; Chordata; Mammalia; Rodentia; Muridae.
GCCAUGCUUAUCAGUGGGCCAGAUGGG